ACUUGUGCUUUGAGAGAAAGAGAGAUGCUGGUAGGUUUUUAGGGACGGUAGUAUUAGUUUUUAUGCAUUCAUAGUUGUUUUUAAAUCAUUACUUUUCACUUUUAUUUGUUCCUCCUAUAAACUCUCUGCUGUUGAUCUACGAAAUAAUUUUGGAGCAAAUUUAUGAUUAAUAUUUUUUGUUUAACAUAUUUUUAAAUUUAAUAAUUUGGAAAUGAUACCAAACAGGUUCCCGUCCAAAGCGGACCGUAAUAGUAUGCGUUCCCGACCAAAAACGUUAUUCGCAUUAAUAAUGGAUCCACUCCGACACACGUGGCAAAAAUGACUCACGGGCAAAACAAACAGACAAGGGAUAGCAACUCACGCGACAGCAACGACGGUGAAAGCGGCGCCGACGCACUAAAUCCGAUAAUAAAGGUUCCUUACCUUGUUACAUACUCCUUCAUUUGGGGAAAGGGGAAUCAUCAGUUGUUUGGUGGGUGGGAGCAUGGUG
Molecule: long non-coding RNA, 490 nt
Filed under: Oryza brachyantha (malo sina)
Lineage: Eukaryota; Viridiplantae; Streptophyta; Magnoliopsida; Poales; Poaceae
Description: long non-coding RNA (OBRA_LNC002802)
Source: RNAcentral